UACUGUGUUGUUUAAUGCAUUUUUAUUUCUUUGUUUCCUUAAAUGAAGAAGCUGCAGCAAAGCACACUCAGGAAUGUAAACAACUGAAAGCAGAGAAGAAAGUACUUGAGAAGGAAUUGAAGAAAGCACAGGAAAAGAUUGAUGGCUUCCCUAACAGAAAGCAAAAGAAAGUGUUGAAAAAUGCAGAAACCCAGAGUGAGAGUGAGAAUUUAGUAGCAAAUGUGAACAAAGAAAAAAUUAAAUUUCUGUUGGAAGAACUCUGGCAGUGUAUAGAAAGCUCUACAGGAAAAAAGCAGAUCAACAAAUGUGAACACACAAUAGGUAAGAUCAAGUACCAGUGCUUU
This 344-nucleotide long non-coding RNA is filed under the name Notechis scutatus (mainland tiger snake). RNAcentral describes it as "lncRNA (ENSNSUG00000010237.1)". The record is from RNAcentral. Lineage: Eukaryota; Metazoa; Chordata; Lepidosauria; Squamata; Elapidae.